CCUACGGGGGGCUGCAGUGGGGAAUAUUGGACAAUGGGGGCAACCCUGAUCCAGCCAUGCCGCGUGUGUGAAGAAGGCCCUCGGGUUGUAAAGCACUUUCAGUGAGGAAGAACGCCUGGUGGUUAAUACCCAUCAGGAAAGACAUCACUCACAGAAGAAGCACCGGCUAACUCCGUGCCAGCAGCCGCGGUAAUACGGAGGGUGCGAGCGUUAAUCGGAAUUACUGGGCGUAAAGCGCGCGUAGGUGGCUUGAUAAGCCGGUUGUGAAAGCCCCGGGCUCAACCUGGGAACGGCAUCCGGAACUGUCAAGCUAGAGUGCAGGAGAGGAAGGUAGAAAUCCCGGUGUAGCGGUGAAAUGCGUAGAGAUCGGGAGGAAUACCAGUGGCGAAGGCGGCCUUCUGGACUGACACUGACACUGAGGUGCGAAAGCGUGGGUAGCAAACAGGAUUAGAUACCCUUGUAGUC
Molecule: ribosomal RNA, 465 nt
Filed under: Vreelandella stevensii
Lineage: Bacteria; Pseudomonadati; Pseudomonadota; Gammaproteobacteria; Oceanospirillales; Halomonadaceae
Description: partial 16S ribosomal RNA
Rfam family: Bacterial small subunit ribosomal RNA
Source: RNAcentral